GACGAACGCUGGCGGCGUGCUUAACACAUGCAAGUCGAACGGAAAGGCCCUGCUUUUGUGGGGUGCUCGAUUGGCGAACGGGUGAGUAACACGUGAGUAACCUGCCCUUGACUUUGGGAUAACUUCAGGAAACUGGGGCUAAUACCGGAUAGGAGCUCCUGCUGCAUGGUGUGGGAUGGAAAGUUUCGGCGGUGGGGGAUGGACUCGCGGCUUAUCAGCUUGUUGGUGGGGUAGUGGCUUACCAGGGCUUUGACGGGUAGCCGGCCUGAGAGGGUGACCGGCCACAUGGGGACUGAGAGACGGACCAGACGGCUACGGGAGGCAGCAGUGGGGAAUAUGGCACAAUGGGCGGAAGCCUGAUGCAGCAACGCUGCGUGCGGGAUGACGGCCUUCGGGUUGUAAACCGCUUUGGAAUGUGACGAAGCGUGAGUGACGGUAAUGGGUAAAGAAGCACCGGCUAACUACGUG
This 468-nucleotide ribosomal RNA is filed under the name uncultured bacterium. RNAcentral describes it as "partial 16S ribosomal RNA". It matches the Rfam family "Bacterial small subunit ribosomal RNA", at positions 28 to 507 of the family's 1533-position model. The record is from RNAcentral.